This 253-nucleotide ribosomal RNA is filed under the name uncultured bacterium. Its description in RNAcentral is "partial 16S ribosomal RNA". It matches the Rfam family "Bacterial small subunit ribosomal RNA", at positions 524 to 776 of the family's 1533-position model. The record is from RNAcentral.
UACGGAGGGGGCUAGCGUUGUUCGGAAUUACUGGGCGUAAAGCGUACGUAGGCGGUUUUGUAAGUUAGAGGUGAAAGCCCGGAGCUCAACUUCGGAAUUGCCUUUAAGACUGCAUCACUUGAACGUCGGAGAGGUGAGUGGAAUUCCGAGUGUAGAGGUGAAAUUCGUAGAUAUUCGGAAGAACACCAGUGGCGAAGGCGGCGAUCUGGGUCGAUACUGACGCUGAGGUGCGAAAGCGUGGGGAGCAAACAGG